Erinaceus europaeus (western European hedgehog) is the source of this 336-nucleotide unclassified non-coding RNA. Its record names the gene 7SK. It matches the Rfam family "7SK RNA". Rfam says of the family: 7SK was discovered as an abundant small nuclear RNA in the mid-70s but a possible function has only recently been suggested. Two independent studies have found that 7SK RNA binds the CDK9/cyclin T complex (known as elongation factor P-TEFb). Lineage: Eukaryota; Metazoa; Chordata; Mammalia; Eulipotyphla; Erinaceidae. The record is from Ensembl.
GAAUGUGAGGAUGAUUUGGCUGCUUGUGGACAUCUGUCACCGUAUUGGUCGCCAAGGUUGAUUUGGCUGGCCUGACUGGCUAGACAGGUGUCCCCAUCCUUCCUCACCCCUCCAUGUGCAUCGUUCUUGAAACUGUGCAGUAGGUUGAAGAGGACAGCGUUCCCCCUAUAGAAGUGAACUGGUCUUCAGGUGAGGAUAUAUGAAUAGCUGUGCUCCUCUGUGAGACCCUCCAAACAGAUCUCAAAAAAUUAAUAAAUCUUAAGAAAAAUUAAGACAGGCAGAGGAAAUUGCUGCAAUGCGGGGAAACUCAGUGGAACUGAACUGGAGAUAUUUCUG